Molecule: ribosomal RNA, 336 nt
Filed under: Triticum aestivum (bread wheat)
Lineage: Eukaryota; Viridiplantae; Streptophyta; Magnoliopsida; Poales; Poaceae
Description: partial small subunit ribosomal RNA
Source: RNAcentral
CGUUUUGUGAGAGAUUUCAGCACCAUUGUUGCACCUCUCAAUGAGCUUACAAAGAAAGAUGUGCCUUUUCUUUGGGGUACCGCACAGGAAGAAGCCUUCUCGGUAUUGAAAGAUAAGUUGACACAUGCUCCUUUACUCCAACUUCCUGAUUUUAAUAAGACUUUUGAGCUUGAAUGUGAUGCUAGUGGAAUUGGAUUAGGCGGUGUGUUAUUACAAGAUGGCAAACCUGUUGCAUACUUUUCUGAAAAAUUGAGUGGGCCUAGUCUGAAUUAUUCUACUUAUGAUAAAGAAUUAUAUGCUCUUGUUCGGACUUUAGAAACAUGGCAACAUUAUUUA